GUCUAUGGCUAUGCCACCGUGAACAAGCCCGAUAUCUGAUCUCGGAAGCUAAGCAGGGUUGGGCCUAGUUAGUACUUAAAUAGAAGACCACCUAGGAAGACCAGGUGCUGUAGGCA
Molecule: ribosomal RNA, 116 nt
Filed under: Pteropus alecto (black flying fox)
Lineage: Eukaryota; Metazoa; Chordata; Mammalia; Chiroptera; Pteropodidae
Source: RNAcentral